This 328-nucleotide ribosomal RNA is filed under the name Thermocyclops parahastatus. RNAcentral's name for it is "SSU rRNA". It matches the Rfam family "Eukaryotic small subunit ribosomal RNA", at positions 1329 to 1681 of the family's 1831-position model. Lineage: Eukaryota; Metazoa; Arthropoda; Copepoda; Cyclopoida; Cyclopidae. The record is from RNAcentral.
UAUCGAACGAGAUUCCGUCCUGCUAACUAGUUGUAGCGUCACUCUUGCGCUGAGAAUUCUUCUUAGAGGGACUGGCGGCAUCUAGCCGCACGAGAUGGAGCAAUAACAGGUCUGUGAUGCCCUUAGAUGUUCUGGGCUGCACGCGUGUUACACUGAAGGGAUCAGCGUGUCCUCCCUGACCGAGAGGUCCGGGUAACCCGCUGAACCCCCUUCGUGGUAGGGAUCGAGGCUUGCAAUUAUUCCUCGUGAACCAGGAAUGCCCAGUAAGCGCAAGUCAUAAGCUUGCGUUGAUUACGUCCCUGCCGUUUGUACACACCGCCCGUCGCUA